This 88-nucleotide transfer RNA is filed under the name bacterium. Its description in RNAcentral is "tRNA-Leu". It matches the Rfam family "tRNA". Rfam says of the family: Transfer RNA (tRNA) molecules are approximately 80 nucleotides in length. Their secondary structure includes four short double-helical elements and three loops (D, anti-codon, and T loops). The record is from RNAcentral.
GCGCGGGUGGUGAAAUUUGGUAGACACGCCAGCUUGAGGGGCUGGUCCUAGCAAUAGGGUGGAGGUUCGAGUCCUCUCUCGCGCACCA